UACAGAGGGUGCAAGCGUUGUUCGGAAUUAUUGGGCGUAAAGCGUGCGCAGGCGGUUCGUUGUGUCGGCGGUGAAAGCCCCGGGCUUAACCUGGGAAUGGCCGUUGAAACUGGCGAACUGGAGUGUGGCAGAGGGGGGUGGAAUUCCGCGUGUAGCAGUGAAAUGCGUAGAGAUCGGGAGGAACACCUGUGGCGAAGGCGGCCCCCUGGGCCGGCCCUGACACUGAGACGCGAAGGCGUGGGGAGCGAACGGG
Molecule: ribosomal RNA, 253 nt
Filed under: uncultured bacterium
Lineage: Bacteria
Description: partial 16S ribosomal RNA
Rfam family: Bacterial small subunit ribosomal RNA
Source: RNAcentral